Molecule: long non-coding RNA, 1277 nt
Filed under: Brassica napus (rape)
Lineage: Eukaryota; Viridiplantae; Streptophyta; Magnoliopsida; Brassicales; Brassicaceae
Description: long non-coding RNA (BNAP_LNC010070)
Source: RNAcentral
UUAGGCAAUUCCGUAAUCUUUAUUUAAGGAAAGAAUAAUUGACAUUAAUAAUGAAUUUAUGGUUAGUUUAAUAAAAAGUUUAUUAUAUAAUUAGAUGGACCAACCUAUUUCUCUAGUAAUUCUAAGAACCAUCCUAGUGAUGACAUGUGGCUACAAAAAGAAGUUGUAAUGUUUCACAAAUAAUAUAUAGGGGAUAAAUAAUUAUAGAAUUAUUUCAUUUAAAAAAAAUACUUAUUAACUAAAAGAAAGGCAGAACAAAACGGACAACAUCCAAAAUUAGGUGGGUAGUAGUACUAUAGGCAGAUGAAUUGCCUUUACGCAGAAAAAAAACAAAAACAUUAGUAUGUGUACAGUUCUCCUGCCUGUUAAUUUUGAAUUUUUUUUAAAAUAGGAAUGACAACACAAAAGCAGUUAUCCUACCCAAGUGUAUGAAAUGAUAUUGUCUCAUUCUUCCAUUCAAACAAUUAGUUCCAAUAAAACACCCACAAGAAAUCCCAUGAAGAAGACUGAUAAUACGAACCCUUAGCACCGAUAGAACCACCAUUCCGAAAAGACAAACCUUCGCCACUGAGCAGGAACGACGAAACUAUCCUUCAUCACCUUCAAAAACGAAGAACCCAUAGAAAUCGGCAAGGAAAACUGAUUCUCUGAAAACCCUAAGAGCCGACUGUCGUGGGCGGAGACACGCCAGAGUUAAACCCUAGAAUUAAAACCACGAGCAUAUCGAAGGGGUGUUGGGGACCGAGCAGCAGCAAAUAAGAAACAUAGAUUUAAGGGUGUGGGAGACCUCCGGGGGCGGCACGCGCUCACGCACCACCGGGCACGAGAGAGGACAUUGUUUAUCGAGACUUAACUUUUAGGGAGAAUAGAUGAGAGAGAAAGCAAAAACAACUCCUCCUCCAUUCAAACACCAUGAGACUUGCCUCCAAUCAAACACCCACCAGAGAUCCCCUGAUUCUAGAGAAUAAGAAGAGGUCCUCACCAACACCAAAGAAGAUCCGUAAAACAAAGCCAUGGAACCGACAUAACCACCAUCCCGAUGAGAUAAAUCUUCGCCACUGAGCCAGAACGACGAAACCAUUCUUCACCACCUUCAAAGAUGAAGAACCCAGAAAGAUCAAAAAGGAAAUCUAUUCUCUCAAAACCCUAAGAGACUGCUACCAUAAACCACCACACUGACGACCUUGCCACAUGGAAACGGAAUCAACACAUGAGACGUACCCUUCGUGAGCGGAGACACACCGGAGCAAGCCCCUAAAACCAGAACCACAAGCAUA